AUGUUCUCUACAUCUCUGCUGCUCCUGCUGGCAGCUGCAUCCUGUGUUCACUGUGAGGAACUUACUCAACCUGCUUCCAUGGUGGUCCGUCCAGGCCAGAGUCUGACCAUCGACUGCAAGGUUUCAUAUUCAGUUACAAGCUAUUAUUCAGCUUGGAUCCGACAGCCUGCAGGAAAAGCUCUGGAGUGGAUUGGACGUAUCAGUAGCAGUGGGGGCACAACUUACAGUGAUAAACUGAAAAGCAAGUUCAGCAUCUCCAGAGACACUGGAACCAACACAAUAACAUUACAAGGACAGAAUCUGCAGACUGAAGACACAGCUGUGUAUUACUGUGCAAGAGGUUCACAUGAUGCUUUUACAGUUAUUCCAUUACUACUCAACCUUGGACAUGUUAGUUAUGUCAGGGGUCAACCUCACAUCGAGUGA
Molecule: non-coding RNA, 426 nt
Organism: Colossoma macropomum (tambaqui)
Lineage: Eukaryota; Metazoa; Chordata; Actinopteri; Characiformes; Serrasalmidae
Source: the annotation of a RefSeq genome assembly